Non-coding RNA from Ictidomys tridecemlineatus (thirteen-lined ground squirrel), 1234 nucleotides. NCBI's taxonomy places the organism in Eukaryota, Metazoa, Chordata, Mammalia, Rodentia, Sciuridae. The record is from RefSeq and is a predicted model, not a curated record.
GCCUGCGCACGCAGUGGGGCGCCGGAGCUCCGCGUUUGUGCCUGUCCCGCGCUCAGCCAGGGCCCUGGAAACCGGUUCUCUGCGCAAGCGCCCCGAGAGACACCUCCGCCCCGCCCCUCUCCCGGGGUUCUACGGGGACAAUGGACCUCUGCCCGCGUCUGCCGUGCGGGGUACGUCAGUAGCUACUUACGUCCUUGCUGGCGCCUGGGGUUUUUUCUAGAGCCAGUUUCGGGCCAGGCGAGUGACUGGUCCGCUGGGGACCCUGAGCUCUAGGGACUACCUGGGGUGCUUUGGCUCUCGACCUUUCAGUUCCACCUUUUCUCUCCACCCCAUCCUCAAGCCUGGCUCCCGGCCCGCCGGCAGAAAUGCACUUUGGGGCAGAAGCCAGCAAGCGUCGCCUUUCCACUCGCCCACCCAGUGUGGAGUAAAGCCUUCCUGAUCUCACUCGUCUGUGGAUAGCCUGUGGUGAGAGGGCAGUUUCUGGAACAGAGAUCUUUUCAGAAGUCGCGCUGAAGAAUUCAUGCUAAAUCUCGGCAGCAAAAGCCAAAUUUGGAGAAGGAAAGUUUUCCUCCUAGAAUAAGGUCAAUUCUGGGAUUCGGUUUUCCUUUUGGAAGUUAAGCCUGGAAGUAAUUCAGCCAUCCUAAGUGAACCAAAGGCCAUGGCAUAUUUGAAAUGAAGAAAUUGUUUUGUAUUUUGUAAGGGUAGACAGAAUGCUAAGGAGAUUGAUAUAGGACGCCUACUUAAGGAAACUAUCUCGCUAUGGGGUAUGUAACUGCCCCGUGUAUUGUAGGCCUGUAAUGGCUCUGUUUACUCACGUAUGUCACCUGCCCAACCUGUCAGUCUCUUAUAGGUAUUUCAACUUGUGAACCAUUAUAUGGUUCUUCAAGACUUGAGGAAUUUACUUAUUCAGCAAAUAUUAGGCCCUACCACGCACAGGUCACUUGAGACACAGGACAAGAUCUCCGUGUAUAUAUGGGAGGAGAUCUACCCUAAAAGUGUCUUAGAAAGAGUUAUAAAGACGGUUGAAAAGAUGAACUGUCCACUAACUCUUGGAAGCUUUUGCUGAAGGGGAAGCUACUUUGAAAACAACUGCCUUAGGGUAUGAUAGAGAAACAAUGUGGAAGGUACCUGGGUCCCUGCAUGUUCCUCAAAGGACAGAGUUGCCUUUUCAACCUGGACCAUAUACCAACCUCCAUACUGUUAUGAGAGAAAGAAAUAAACUGCAUUUUUUAAA